Molecule: long non-coding RNA, 12148 nt
Organism: Falco peregrinus (peregrine falcon)
Lineage: Eukaryota; Metazoa; Chordata; Aves; Falconiformes; Falconidae
Exons: 4
Source: RefSeq, a predicted model, not a curated record
UAGCUUUAAGAGCUCUCCUGUCAUUUGUUAGUGGUAUCAAGAUGUGUAAUCACAUUAUAGUCAGUAUACCUGUUGUAAAGGGCACUACUUCCAAGUGCCUUCAGCAAACGAUGCAUUUACAGUAAGGCUAUUAAAAUGGGUUCCUCAGAAAGGUCCCUUUUAAAAGCAGCAAUUGGAAACUACAGGUUUUGGACUGCUUGCUUUGUGCUGUUAUGACCAGGGACCAGUCUUACUGACUGGCAAACACUAAGCAAAAUGUUUUUUCUGCUGAACAGACUAGCUGAAGGUAACCUGCAAAUAAAGAAAAUCUGACUGGUGAUGUUUUAGGUUUUGGGCUGGGUUGUUUGUUAAUAUAUGAUAGAAUUUUUGGAGGUAUUUUAAGUGAAGGAGGCAACGUAGGUCAAUGGCCAGAAACCAACAAUUACUGCUUGCUUGGUACCAUAGGGAUGUCUAUCCUUUCAGUUGGAUUGCUACCUGGAUUGGCCCUUUUUGGUGUAUUUUACAGAAACAAGUUAAGUAAAGUGAUAUCUGGACCCAGAAGAGCAUUACGCAAUGUCAGACACUCAGUAAUUUCAGUAUGUCCUUCAGGUAGUUACACUGUAGUAGUGGUACAUGUGCACCAGCACAUAAUUUACAGUCAUCAAAAGAAAUUACAUCAUCUGCUAAUGUGAUUUUUUUUCCCUCUUACAUGUCCAUUUUCCAGAUGCUCAGAGACAGCUAGAAUGAACAAGACUAAAAUCCAUUAUGCAAACACCCAAAGACAGAUUUUCUGUAGGAAUCUCCCAGAAGCAAGAAGAGGUGCAGAGCUUUGUUCCCUGCGCAUACCAAUACAAGAAUGUGAAAACUACAGUCCUUGGUAAAGAGUCUAGGAUCAGCCUCUGACAGAGGCCAGUGAUGAAAAAUAGAACGAUGACUAUACAUUUGUGCUGUUUCUAAUCUUACUUCCCUGAGGAUUCCGUGCUGGCUUUUGUCACCUAGUGAUUGAGGGACUUCUGAGCCUUAAAUCUUCUUUCCUUCGGUUCAUCUGAUCAUUUUGGAAACCGUUUAUCCUUUUGCCAUCCAAAACAUCCCAUGGCAGUGAGUUACUAAAUCUGAUUAUACCUUUUCUGUGCAAUAACUUUAUGGUUUCAGCAUUUUUCAUUUUCACUUGAUACUGAAUUCUUGCAUUGUGAAAAGCAGCAAGUACUAAUCCUCCAUUCUCCACCUUGUUUGCUCAUGAUUUUAUAAACCUCAGACAUCAGUCAUGUCUUUUCCUACUUAAGAAGUUUGAGUUUAAAUAUCUUUCCUUGCACGGAAGCCUUUCUGUGUAUCUCUAUCUGGUUCCCUUUCUAGAUAUUCUGUAUGUUGUCUGCAUUUCAUUGCUUAGAAGGUGACCCAAGCUGUAUAGUGGUGAUGAGAACUGGAUUUGUAAGUUAGCACAGUGUCUUCGGUUUGACUCUCCAAUUCCCAGCUUCUUUUUGUCUUUGUCAUGGCACCCGAUCACUGCCCUGGUAUGUUCAGGGAGCUUAAAACGAACCUUGAAAUGGCAAAAGAUGUAACGUUUCCUGACUGACUCACAGAAGAUACUCUGCCUAUAAAUGCUAGUUCACACUUUCUGUGGGAGGUUGUGCCAACCUGUAUCAGUUAAGACAUGGAUUUGUGAUUUUUACAAAAGCUUGACUUGCUAGAAAGGGUGAGGAAGGCUUUGCGUUGUUGUAAGUUAUAGUCAUUGGUCCUCUCCAAGUUCCAUGCCUGUUUCCUUCUGUUCCUGUCUCCCCUCCCAAAUGACCCAGCUCUGAGAAAUGGAAGGGAAAAAUCUUCCCUAAAACUGUUUUGGUUCUUUUUCUGAUUCUGAAGGAAAAUACUCGAGUUGUGCUUCAGAAUACCAGUAGUUCCCAGCAUUACAGAAGCAAAUAACUUUCUUCGUUUGAUUGUAAGAAGGGGAGCUGAGAAGAAAACAGAAAGCUGGUCCUGCAUGUGAGGAAUUCUAUUUCAAAAGCCUUCCCAAACACCGGGGUGGAAAGUGCUGUCGUUUUUGCAGCAACUGAGGAGUUUUGUCAUUGUCUUUACUGGUUUGAACUACUUCUGGUUUUGUGGAAAGGUAGAAGCAUGAGAAACUUUAAAUGUUAAUGGUAUGUGCUGAUACAUCCUUGAUCCUACAGAAUCUUUAAGCAUCAGGUCUCUUUUGCAUAUGUGUUCAGGUGUACUGGGAGGUUCAAAUGUAUGUUAAGAAACUUAGGUGUUUAGGAAAGUUCUGGGAACUUUCUGAGAACAUUACUGUAGUACAAUUGCUGAAGCUUUUAAUGAAUUUUUUUAGACUCUUAACAUCUGAAACACUAGUCUUACUCUGAAACUGUUGAUCUUUUUCUUUUUGGAAAAACUGAAGGAAAAAUGUAAUGAAUUUUUCAGCCUUACCACAACUAAGGCCAAUUCUGGGGUCUUGCUGCCCCAGGGAGAUGGGACAGGCUGUAUUUAUGAUGUGGAAAAGGAUGAAAUACUAUUUCGGACCAAGAUGAGAUAGAGGGUUAACUGGUUUUUCCAAGGUAUUAGUUGAUCUAGUGAAAGAUACAGUCUUUCUACAAAUCCUUGCCCUGAAAUAACAAGCACAUCAAAGAUGACAUCAGACCUUAGUCUAGUGUUUAAGUUCCAUUUCUGCAGGAUGUAUUACCUUCCAGCCCCUCUGCUGUGUCUCUUUGUGAAGUCUUGUUGUAUUUGGGCUGCGAUGCAGAGCCAGCAUUAAGUAUGCAUUGUGUUUUCUUCAGUUUUACUUGAUUUUUAUUCCUUUCCCAGAUGACUUUGGCUGGCAUUCCUCUUAUCACUAUGAGACAAAGUACUAUUUGUUUUCUUGCCUUUUGUUUUGUCCCCCAGCCCCUUUUAUAUAAUUUUGUCAGCCCUCAAGUGUUUUCCUUUGUAGCAGAAGACACAGCUCUGCAGCAGGUGUGUCUCAGUUUCGGGUAUAUGGUACCUCUGCUUACAAAGUCAGAGCACCCAGCUGCAGCCAGAGAGACCUCCCCUUAGCAGGGAGGCGGCUGUAGCGGUGUGUGUGCAGUGUCCUGUCCCUGCUCUGCUCCCACAGCCACCCUCCACCUGUGCAGAGAAGCUGAAAGUGAAGCCAGAAGUGCAGUUCUCACCAGUGCUGCCAAAGACAGGAUUGCUUUCUUGGUGUUUCUCCCACAUCAGCCCUUCCACUCAUCACCUUGUCCAUAAAUUUAGUGCCCUUCUAUGCUGUCCUUUUUUGCAGCAGUGCCGGGCACUCCUUUAGCAACACCAGACUGGACAAGUCAGGGUUACUGGGAAGCUCUGAAGCUGGCCUGAGUUCUGCUGUUACAGACCUGGCUGCAUCCUGCUGCAUGCUGAUGUAUUUCACCCCCGGCACAGGUCGUAAAACCCCAUUGCUGCUCUGCUGGUGGCUCCAGCAGCCUCCUGCCCUGUGCCUUCCCCACCCGUUGCAGGCACUGAGCAGUCCCUGGCAGAGGAGGCUUUUUGGAGUCACGCUUGGGUGUUAAGUCACUCCAGUCUCAGCUGUUUCAAAGGAACCGUAGGUGCUUUAACCACUCCCAGUCUCUGUUGUUAAGACUAGGGCUGCCUUGCUGCUGUGAGGCUGAGAUCUAGAAAGUCAUCUGGUGAAUUGGAUCGAGGUGUUAAAAAUCCAGGAACUGUGUUCAGUGCAUCAGGCAUUUUUUGUUACCAGAUAGGGGGGUGGCACAGGAAGUGUACUCCCACCCCCCCACCCCCAAGUUUUGCAUUAGCCACUGGUGCUGAUGAAAGCCCAGCCCAGCUUAAGUAUGUUGAUGUGACUCCAUUACCACUGUGUCAGGGAACAGGAAGGUAGAAAUGGAUAGAUGCUAUCACUGAGUCUGACCCUAAUGAAAUAAGUGCCACUAUGUUAGUCAUUGCUAAGGUGGUGGCGGUUAGUGGAAAGGCUUGUACAGGAGCCAAGAAAAAAGUAACAAAAGGUUAAGCCUGGAAGGGCGGAGAAGGGAAGAGUUGGGCAAAAAGAGGAACUGAGGAGCUGGCAAAAGGGAUUCAACUUCUUGUAAACAUGCAGUUUUGUGAAAACAUGGCUAGGAUCUGCAUAGUAGAAGGUUUUUGGAGGCUGGAAGAACAAAAUCUCUUGUCUUUUAUAACUUUUCUACUCCUGACUAGCGCAACAAUGAUGCAGAAUUUUUGUCUGUAUUUCACAUCCUUGGAUUGGGGGAAGCAUCCAGAUGAUGCACCUCCCAGACAUGCACUUGGCAGAACAUGGAACCAAGUCAUUUCCAAAUUGCAGUAUUUGGAGAAUCAGUGAAAACAGGGUGGGAUGUUUGAAAGAAUUGACAGUACCAUGCCUGGAGGUACUUAGGAGGUUUUGAAAAGCUGUUUUGGUUUUUAGAGAAAGCUAAAUUAGCAGAACCAAAUCUUCUAUUGAAACUUAACCUCAGUUGAUUCUUCCAGGGGAAAUGUAGAAAGAAAGACUGCCUAUGAACCAGAAGGCCGAGGUGAAGAGUGGGCUUAUCUGUAGGUCAGAAGAGCCAGGUUCAGGUCGUCUUCUAGAUAGUCUGUCUAAGCCCCUGUCGGUAUUUGCAUACGUAGUGGAAAAACUUCAUCAGGACAGAAGGAAGAGGCAUCUCUGAACAACCUGUUGCUUAGAGCGCUGCUCUGCAGCAGGAGAAGUUCCUGCCCUACCACCAGAUGUAGGUGCACACAUGUACGUGAUUUAAUCAAAAAUACACUCUUCCGCUGUAUGCCUACAUGGAUUUUGGAGAUUCUUUGCAGGCAGUGUAGUGAGCAGCUGUGGGAGGCGGUGCACAGCGUUGUUUCUCUUCAGUUUGUUGCAGAAGUACUGCAUAAUGUGUGUCAUGUUUGAAAAGGGUAGAUGGCAGGAGGCAGCUGCUAGUUUAUGUGGUCCUUGGAGUCAACUUAAGUGCUGUGGAGGAAGGGUGAGAGGGAUUGCUCCAUCCCUGGGAGUGCUCUGCUGGGCCUCGACAUGCUCCCACAGAGCAGGGUAGGGCUAGCAGAGAGCUGCAGCAGGCUCUGCAGGCUGCAAGGGCUCCUUGUAGGAGAGAAGUACGUAAGCACAGUGGCAGAAAAAGGGGGUAACUUUUUGUAGCGACCAAGUGGACACUGCAUGGAGUUUUUCCGAUCAGGGAAACUAAUGGAACUCGCUGUACUGGAAAGACUAGGAGGCAGGCUGUGUGGUUUCCUUGCCUCUUGCAAGUAUGUAGCUGGACUUCUCUCAAUCUUCCGCUCUGUUGUCAUUUUAUAAUCCUUUAAGUCCUCUGGCCUUUUGUCCAAUUCCACCCACCAUGCUUUUCUUGAUGUACAGUUUUCAAAGCAUGGUAUAGUACUUCAGCUGUGCUUUAUAAGCACCAUAUGGAGCAGAGGGCUCUCUUCGCAUCCAGCUGACAGCUGUCCUGUUUAUUCUCUGCACUUUGCUGUCUGGCUUAUUUGCAGAAACCUGUGACUCAAUCCAGCCUCUGAACCUUUUUGAGGAAUUGCCUCAUUAGUGAUUUCUCAUCGUGUAUUUGUGCAAUUCAUUGUCCUCAAACUAUGUAUUUGUCCUUGCUGAAUUGCCAGCAUUUCCCAAACCACCUCCCCAGUUUGCCAAAGCCAUUCUAAUUCCUUUCACCAAUGCACUGGCACCUUCUUUUCAUUUGAGAUCUGCACGUGUAUAAUAUAUAAAUAAAUAUAAUAAUGUAACACAUAAAUAUAAAAUAGACCUUUUCUGUCCCAUGCAAUAGUGAAAAUAUCUGAUUGUUACAUCCAGGACCCAUCUUUGAGGAGCCUUGCUGAUAUAUUCUCCUGGACUGAUUUUUGCACCCCUUGAGAGCUGUUACCCUGAAAAAGGAGGAAAUGGUUUGACCAUGAGUAGCAGCCAACAUGGAUUUGUCAAGAAUAAAUCACCUCCCUGCUGUCAGGCAGAGCACUACCAGCAGGUCGAGAGAGGUGAUCCUUCCCCUCUGCUCAGCACUGGUGAGACACAUCUGGAGCAGUGAGUCUGGUUCUGGGCUCCCUAGUAUGAGAGAGACGUGGACAUACUGGAGAGAUUCCAGCGAAGGGCCACAAGGGCAGUUGCAUUUGGUGUGAUGCCCCUCCUCUGCGUUGUGCAGCGCUGAAGCACAGACACACUUCCUGCACGUUUCUGCUUCAUUUCUGGUGUGACUGGGGAUGCAUCCCUCAUCCUAAGAAUCAUCUCACAUACAUUCACAGUUGCCAUCUGUUUGGUCCUUAACUACAGGUACAACUUGUCCCUCCCAGGUCAAGGUUUGCUGGCCUCAUAGCAGAGGAGAUGUGUUGUUGGAGAGCUGUCACUGGGAAGGAGACCUUCCCCGCUGCUGUGCCCAGGUAGGCCUGCACAGAGGUACCCUAACGUGGGGGAAGAUGCCCCCCUUAAAACCACUUCCUUUCUUGUGCCCACCACAUGUGUGUGUAACAGGUGCUGUUUCAGUGCAUCAUUUAACUGCCUGGAAAACAGGGUGUGUUUCAGGGGCCAGGCCACGCAAGGAGGGGUCUGGAAGAUGCAGGCUGCUGGUGCUCACCUUGCCUCGCUCUGCUGCUGUUGCUUUUCUGGCUCUUUGCUUUGACUGUCCCGUUGUGCCAUGCGGGUGGCAGAGGUGGGCUUUUGCAAACUGCUUGAACAAGUCUCAGAUGCCAUUAAGAGAUAGGAACUGCUCUAGCUCUUACUUUCUAGGGACCCUAAACCUGUUCUCUUAGGGGCUUGUUCAGUGGCUCUGGCAGUGCAGAGUGGUCAGUGCUGAAGGAGCAGUUCAUAAAAUGUACCCGGUAGGUGUAUCUCAUGUGUGACAUGUUCCUGCUGGUAAGGACCAACCUCUGCUCAAGGUUAGGGUUCAGGUUAGGAGUGGGUUUGGUGGUGGGCAAAGAGGCUGCUUAUCACAGCAGCCAGGAUCAAAGGAAGAUCCAUUUCCCUCCGGAGAUGUCUGGUUCCCAUCUGCUGGCUGUCAUUGGAAGUGGUAAGUGGGAAAGCUCUGCCCUUCCAGCUGGCAGGGGUAAGAACGGGUCUUGCAGAAGGUGGAGCAGAAGGUGCUCAGUGCUGAGGUCAGAAGAGGAGCUGAGACCCACUAAAUUAGAUCUGCAUCACCGAGGGCAAGUUCAGAUGGUGGAAAGGAGGAGUAGGAUGCUCUUUCAGACUCUGUUCAGCUGUUGUGUGCAUGAGUCACUUCACAUCCCACCAAGUCCCCCUUAAUCAGCGAUGUUCUUCCUCAAAUGGCUGUGGACCUUCGCAUGUCUCUCUGGAUGCCUGAGCUUUCUUGAGAUGUGGUGGUGAUGGUCAGAAUGAGGGGCUCAUUCCUCUGUGGGUGUCUGAGCUCCUUUGUGGCUUUCGCUCCUCGAAGGAGCUGGAAUCGCUUAGUUGAAGGAGAUCUGACCUCCUCUCACCUCCUUCACUGCAUGUUCCGAGAGGGAUGGAGAUCCUACCCUGCAGCGCGGUCCGAGAUCUGCUUCCGGCUUUGCACCAGACAGGAAAAACCCAGGGCUUUGCGAGUGGGUCUGGUCACUGUUGGGGCUGCUCCCAGAGCAGGUAUGUGUGCCUGUGGCUCUGCUCCCAGCCUGGGGCCCAGGUGGCGGGUGCAGGUGGCUGGCUCGGGUGAACCGCAGCUGGCCUAGCCCAGGGAGAGCUGUGGGGGCACAGCUGGAGGGAGACCACAGGUUGACACCUUGCCGUCUGGGCCAGCAAGGCACUGUUUCCCUUGGCGUGGGCUUCUCAGCAGAGAAGGCACCCCUGGGCAUCGCCCAAGUCCGGACUGCUGUGGAGCAGGACAGGGAGCUGUGACACCCGCUGUCCCGUUCGGCCAUGCCAUUUUGGGCUGUGCGGGGCAGGUUUGGGAUGGGGAAGUCUGGCUGCAGCAGGGACCCAGAAGCUCAGCAAGGCAUGGAGAGUGCUAGUGCUGUCCGAAAAGCCAGUAGGGCAGAUACCAGGCUUGCCUGGUAACGUGUGCGUCCCUCUUGUAAAAACUGCUGCGAUAUUUGUGUGUGACCAAGAAGGUGCUAUUGGUGAUUAAAAACAAACAAACAGUUGUUGUAUGAAGACAGCUUUGACAAAGAGAUUGGGUGAGUGCAGGAGCGGGGAGGAGGAGGGAAAGAAGGUAGCAGCUGUGACAGGGAGGGGGUGGAGGUGAAUCAGCAAGCGCUGCAGAAUUGGGCCCCACUACUUUUUCCUCCCUCCCACUCCUUGAGAAAUUAAGAGUGUGAGAGCCUUGGGCAAGGUGAGUUCAUGUGACAUGGAGAAGGUGGGCAUCCGCACAAGCAGCCAGAUCUGCCCCACUCAUGGGUACUCGGCCCAUCUGUCAACCAAGUUUCCAGAAAGCAUGCUGGAGGGCUGGCCUGGGGAAGGAUGGUGAGGGAACAAGUGUGGUUAAGCCAAGUACAUGCUUCAAAUAGGUUGUUUUGGUGCCUUCUAGAAAUAAGCUGUCUCAUAACCCACCAUCUGUUUCAGUGCUGUCUGCAGCAGAGCUCUGUGUGCUGUGAAAAUAUCUCAAGCUCCUGAGGGAUGCUGUCGGCCAUUAUCAACACCAUACAUCCAGCACAUGUUGUGAAGAGUUCCUGCACCAACAGCUUCUUACCAGUAAAUGUAAAAAGAGGAGGGAAAAGUGGAUGUACUACAGAGAAAGGGGAAGAACACACUGAGCAGCAGUGGGAGUGGAGACACAGAAGUGCUGGGCCAGUUGGGAUGGUUGGUGCCUUUCAGGAGCCCCUGUGUAAGCAGUUUCUGCAGCACCUUGUAAAUCCCCACCUCACCUUGCUGGAGUUCUGACCCCCUGGCUGGGACAGCCUGUGGGCAGGGAAUCUUUGGCAAGGAAUGCUUCAGUGAGGGUGCUGGGCUGCCCUUUGCCCUUGGUGAGCAAUUUGAGGCAUCAGGUGAGAUGGCAGGAGUGCUUAACCCCAUACCUCAUCCCUCUGCUGAGGUCCUGCUGGCUUGAACUGGUGCUUUGUAAGUAUUUCUUACACUGUAGGUUUUCAGUUGAACCUCCUCAGCUGAGAGCAUGGUACUAGGAAAUAUUACUACAGCAUACUUUGAAUUCACAUAGACUUUGUAGAAAAAGAAUUUGAGACUUCCCUUUUCUAGAAUGAGAAGCACUGCUGUUCUGAGUACAACGGUGUGGCAUCUUGUUUGGAAUUUCCCUUGCUUUCUAUAUAUACACAUGCAGCAAAGCCACAGGAAAUGGAAGUUUAAAAAAAAAUACCAUAGAGUAUAGGUGUCUGCUUCUUGAACAAAUUUUACUCUUGUAGUCAGUUUUAUUAUUAGUGAGCACUUAAUCUUGAGGUAUCGUUUAAGGCUUGUUUUAAAAGAUGUGAUGUCCUAAAUCAUUGGAGGGGGAAGCAGGCGUUGCCUUAAAAGUUGCAGAAGACUUAAUAUGUUUUUUAGGUGCUAUACUGCUUGUGCUACAGAAGACAGCAUUGUUGUUGAUCUCUCCCUUGGGGCUUUUAGGGUAGGGACCAACUUCUGAGACUUCUCCCAGUUGUAUUUUCUGAGAUUUAAUGAGUCAGUCUUGUCUACAACUGCUGUCGUGAUUGUGUGCUAAGGGCGUGCUUCUGCAUGGCAACCAGCAUAGUUAUUGGUAAACAGCAUUUACUUUAAAAUCCCCCCCAAAAUACAUUAUAAUUAGGUUCAGGAGUAGUGAAAACCCACUUGCCAGCAGUUGGAGGAUAUGUGGUCUGAAAACCUAACUGUUGGUGAGACAGCUGCUCGGGAGCUCUGAGCUUUUCCUGGGUCUGAACCCGGCUCAUUUGGAAAGCAAAACUGAGGAAGGUAAUGAGGGAAAAAUUUUAGGAGAAGGAUGGACUAAUCAUGAAGGUAAUUGGAUAGAUACAUCUUGGCAGCUCUUUAUACGCUAGGAAACACUCCUACAAGUCCCAGAAGAGACAGUUACCCUGCCUCCUCCCAGCCUCCCUGGACCUACAGAGGUACCGCUGUCUGUCUUCCACUGUUGGUGUGCCUCUCCAGUAUGGGCAUUGCUCGCCAGUAACGAGAGAUUUACAGAAGCCUAAACAGGCAUUAACUUUGCCUGAAAACAGGGUUUGUUUAUCUUGGAUGCCUUUUGUUACCAAUACAGCAAAUAAGGAACCGAGUCCCAUAUGGUCCUGAAGUUUUUCUGUAUGGUUUCGAGUCUCUUGUGUGAGGACUUGUUUCUGCAGUUUUACACUUGGUAUGUGUUACAGUGAACAACCGUAGUACAAGUGGAUAAUUAAAGUUUAUGCUGUUGAAGGUCCUUUUCAUUUUAUGCAGUUACUUUCUUACUCAUAUGCUUUUUAUUGCUUUCUUUUAGACAAGGAGCUGGGUUGCUUUUACCAUUUUGACAGACAAGACAGGCACUACUUGGAGGGCCAUCCAGGUGGCAGAGAAUGCUGUUGUGAGGCCAGAAGGAGCUUUCCCUGAUUUAAAGGAUUCAUGCUGGGAGCUCAUGGCUGCUUUCACUUCAGUGUUGGGACAGUGGAGCCUGAGAAGUUUUAUUCAUUCUGGCCUGCAGCCUCAACUGUGAUGUAGGUGGUGGUGGUGGUGAUUGCUUGGGAUGCCUUGAUGCGUAUGCUUUGCCUUGUGAGGAGAGGGCAAGUGAAGAUUUUAUGGUUUCUGAAGAGAUCUACCAGUGACUGGUGUAAAAAGUCAAAGCGCUGGGUAAUAGAAAGGUUGUCUUAGAAGGGACAGUUUACGCCCUAUAAACUGAAACAAAUAUUUGCAUGUAAGCCAGUGGUGGUUCUUUACAGUGUUUGUAACUGGUACCUUGGUUAAGCCAAGACAAGAAAGAAAUAGGUAAAGCUUUUUAUCAACAAGAAAAAAAACCCCACCAACUCUGUAGGAAAGGGUAAAGUGAAAUAUCUCUGAAGUGAGGCAUUUUUAUGCUGAAAGCCAGCAGCUCUGUCCUAGAUUUUUGCCACAGGUGUUCAAAUGCCAGCCACCAUUUAUUGCACAGCUUUAGGUGGUAGCUGUGAUCUUUGCUUGAUCUAUGACUUGACCUGUUUGUGUCUGUUGACCCGCUGUGGUCCCUGUUGUAGGUAUAUCCAUUUUCCCAGCAUUGCAGUGCCCUCCUUUCCCAGGAUUCAUACUGAUCUCUACUUUGACCAGGGACUGAUUCACAGGUCUUAAAUCCACAAGAAUAGGUACUAUCACUUUCUGUGUACUGCAGAUUCUUGUAUCUAUUUCCAAUAGUUUUAGGUCAGUCUGUCCACCUAUACCCACAGCGAUAAACAUGAGUGGAAACCUAUAGCAGACUGGAGCUUCUGAUAUAUAUUAAAGCAGUGAUCAUCUCAAUGCAAUAAAAAAAAAAGGUACUGCCACGAUCUAACUUACAAACACAACAAUAAAGUAACUGUCUUGUAAUGUGAAUCACUAGGAAAAAAGGUCCAUAUUUUGCUUUAUCAAUUGCUGGCCAUAUAGUAUUGAUAUAGACUAAAGCUGUCAACAAGGCUUGUCUAAUGAGAACAGUCAGCAAAACUUAAGAUUAGCUUAUGCCACAGGAAGUUUAAUCAUGUUUCUCAGCCUGUAUUCUGUGGGCUGCAUCUGAUCUCUACAACCUUAAAAGGUGAUGUAUAGAGUGGUCACUUAAAAAAAACCCCACACAUUUCUGCAUGUUUGUGCAUGUUGUGGAAAAACAAGCCAGUAAUCAAUCACAGGUGUGUAGUUAGUUGAAGAUGAGAUUAGUAAGAACCACUGUACCUGCACACUGGAUGCAAUGGCCCAGGCAUCUUUUCUGGUAAUAUCCCACCGAAGACAACAUUAGCAUAAACCAUCAUCUUCCUCUGGGGCUGUAAAAGUAUCAAGGAAAAUAUCCACAGUACUCCUAAUGGGUAGUACUGGGCAGGAACCAAAGCAGAAGACAGGAGCGUUAUCCAGUGUGAGUUUCCUUGAAUUAUGAAAGGCCAUGGUUGUACUAGGCCUUUACUUUGUUAUCCCAUCCUCAAGUCCAGCUCUGACAUGGUGAGAAACACCCAGAGCCAAGGCUGAAAAAACUGUGACCUUGUUGUAUCUGUACACUUUAUCUUCUGAUACUUCUCAAAAUAGUCCCCUGCUCUUUUAAGUUUUCUCCAGGGUAGAUAGGACAAGAAGAAGAAAUCUAAACUAGCACUGGUGUAGUCAUAGAUGUGUGGCAGGGCAGGGUGUUCAAGGUGUUCCUGUGCAUCUGAAAGGCCAUUCUUUCUCUUGUAAAUCAGGAGUGAUUUUUCAUGAUAUUUGAAAAUA